GCAAUAUGAAGGUCAGGCUGAAGACCUUACCGGAUUAGCUGAGAGGUGGUGCAUGGCCGUCGUCAGUUCGUACUGUGAAGCAUCCUGUUAAGUCAGGCAACGGGCGAGACCCACGUCCACAGUUGCCAGCAUACCCUCCGGGGUGAUGGGUACACUGUGGAGACCGCCGCUGCUAAAGCGGAGGAAGGAAUGGGCAACGGUAGGUCAGUAUGCCCCGAAUCUCCCGGGCUACACGCGGGCUACAAUGGUUGGUACAAUGGGCAUCUACCCCGAAAGGGGAAGGAAAUCUCUUAAAGCCAAUCGUAGUUCGGAUUGAGGGCUGCAACUCGCCCUCAUGAAGCUGGAAUCCGUAGUAAUCGCGUUUCAACAGAACGCGGUGAAUACGUCCCUGCUCCUU
Molecule: ribosomal RNA, 397 nt
Filed under: uncultured Methanosaeta sp.
Lineage: Archaea; Methanobacteriati; Methanobacteriota; Methanomicrobia; Methanotrichales; Methanotrichaceae
Description: bacterial SSU rRNA
Rfam family: Archaeal small subunit ribosomal RNA
Source: RNAcentral